UGCAUAGAAUUCUUACAAAUCAGGAAAUGAUGAUGGAUCAACUCAAAGUCAUUCUGAUAAACAUGCAGAAAAUGGGCGAACCUGCUCAUGGGCAGGAUCCCAUCGACAGAGAUUUACUGCCGCUAAAAGAUCCUACCUCCUUGCUGGCUCUGGAUAAACGUCUGAGGGAAGAGACCGACCUAGAAUAAAAUAUGAUUACUGCAUUGAGCUUCAUUGGAGGAGUUGACAUUAAGGAUAGCGUUUGGCGGGUUAUGGGGCACUGUAUUACCAACUCCCUUGGCAAACAACUCAACUGGCGUGGCAUCAAUGGCAAAACAGCUUUCCACAAACUGCAGCUGAAAGAUGUCAUUACUGGAACUGUCAGAAACAACAGACUGACAGCUGCGGCCACUGAUCAAGAAAUUGAAACAUUUAUAAAAAAAUGGCUUCAUCUUUCAAGUGACCGAGACGGAGGGAGAAGAGAAAAGGAGAAACG
Molecule: long non-coding RNA, 475 nt
Organism: Carassius carassius (crucian carp)
Lineage: Eukaryota; Metazoa; Chordata; Actinopteri; Cypriniformes; Cyprinidae
Exons: 3
Source: RefSeq, a predicted model, not a curated record